AAGAAAAGAGGGAAAAAGAAGCCAGUAUCAGGCACUAAAUAACAGGCCCACAACACUAAGCAAUACGCCACAACUGCAGUGCUAAACAUUGGACAAUCGGAAAAAUCCAGAUCCAGCAAAGAAAGUAUGAAGGAGGUAAAAUACGUGCCAGCCACCGCGGUUAUACGUAAUUCCUAUAGUUAAAUAGCACGGUGAAAAGGGUGGUUAGAAGAAGAACACAAUUGGUUGUAGCUUUGAGCUAGUGGUAAAAAACUAAUCUCACAAGAAACUCUUAUCUCCAAAUUAAAUAUUUGAAGCCACGAAAACUAAGGCCUAAACCAGGAUUAGAUACCCUGUUAUACUUAGACGUGAACAACCUUAAGCACCAGAGAACUACGAACCUAAAGUUUAAAACUCAAAGGACUUGGCGGUUUUCCAAACCUCCCUGGAGGAGCUUGCCAUUGAAUCGAUAAUCCACGAAACACCUCACCAACUUUUGUAACAACAGCUUGUAUACCAUCGUCGUAAGUCUACUUCUUGAGAAAGUUGACUUUAAGGAAGA
Molecule: ribosomal RNA, 541 nt
Filed under: Mesocentrotus nudus
Lineage: Eukaryota; Metazoa; Echinodermata; Echinoidea; Camarodonta; Strongylocentrotidae
Description: partial 12S ribosomal RNA
Rfam family: Bacterial small subunit ribosomal RNA
Source: RNAcentral